RNAcentral lists this ribosomal RNA (985 nucleotides) under Chinophrys pengi. RNAcentral's name for it is "eukaryotic LSU rRNA". It matches the Rfam family "Eukaryotic large subunit ribosomal RNA", at positions 126 to 835 of the family's 3401-position model. The record is from RNAcentral. Lineage: Eukaryota; Metazoa; Arthropoda; Arachnida; Araneae; Salticidae.
CCAUCCGGUCGCGGGAAAUGUGGCGUUCAGGAGUGAGCGUGUCGAGGCCGGAGUCUGCGGCAAGUCCCCCUGACCGGGGCCUGUCCGUAGCGGGUGCGAGGCCCAUAGCCGCCGGGUCCGCCUCGAAUGCGAUCUCCUUGGAGUCGGGUUGCUUGGGAGUGCAGCCCCAAUAGGGUGGUAAACUCCACCUAAGGCUAAAUACCGCCGUGAGACCGAUAGCAAACAAGUACCGUGAGGGAAAGUUGCAAAGAACUUUGAAGAGAGAGUUCAAGAGUACGUGAAACUGCUCAGAGGUAAACGGGUGGGCCCUCGAAAUCCUGUGGCGAGAGGAUUCAGUCUGCGUCGGGCGACGUCCCGGAGGAAGUCGAGGCAGGGCAUCCGCCGAGCGCGGGCCGUCCUCCAGGGCGCCUUUUCGCGCGGCGCAGACGCAUUUGUCUCUCGUCCCGAGGACGCUGCAGCCGGUCUGGAAGUGCAAGCGCGACGGCCUGAGAGCCGGGAGCCGGCAGGUGGCCGGUGGCUCGCCUCGUGCGGGUCGCCGGUUGUUAGCCGUCCCGGCGGUGGCACGUCUCCAGACCGAGGUGUCGCGAGUCCCUCCGGGGACCCGCCGUCUCCACCUCGAAAGUUGCGGGACAGGGCGCGGCCAGGGCGUCCGUCGUCGACCGUCGCACUGCUACGGAGUGGGCGGACGAGRCGGAAUCCCGAAUCGCCGCGACGGACCCGUCGGGGACAGGAGGCUGGCAGCGAGUAGGUCGGUCACCCACCCGACCCGUCUUGAAACACGGACCAAGGAGUCUAACAUGUGCGCGAGUCAAUGGGUCUUGACUAGGCCCAUGGGCGCAAUGAAAGCGAAGGACUCUUUCUCGGAGUCCGAGUGGGGAUCCCCUCUCCCUCGCGGGAGGGGCGCACUCGCGACCCGUCCUGUCCGACUCGUCGGUUGGGCGGAGUCUGAGCGUACACGUUGGGACCCGAAAGAUGGUGAACUAUG